This is a long non-coding RNA of Brassica oleracea var. oleracea, 1395 nucleotides long. RefSeq lists it as uncharacterized. The transcript has 4 exons. NCBI's taxonomy places the organism in Eukaryota, Viridiplantae, Streptophyta, Magnoliopsida, Brassicales, Brassicaceae. The record is from RefSeq and is a predicted model, not a curated record.
ACUGGUGAUGUUUUAGCUAGUAAAGUUCAUGAAUGCUUGAAGGAGUGGGGAAUUGAGAAAAAAGUGUUCACUUUGACAUUAGAUAAUGCCACAGCUAACGAUUCUAUGCAAGAGAUUUUGAAGGACAGGCUAAAUUUGGAUGAUAAUCUGUUGUGUAAAGGAGAAUUUUUUCACGUGCGGUGCUGUGCUCACAUCUUAAACCUGAUAGUACAAGAUGCUUUAGAUGGUAUUAGUGGUUCAUUGUCUAAGAUUCGAGAUACUGUGAAGUAUUUCAAAGCUUCAACAGCUAGAAGGAUUGCACUCUCAGAUUGCAUAGAAGGUGAUGAAGAAGCUGUCUUCUCUUUGGAUGUUCAGCAUAGAUGGAACUCAACUUAUUUAAUGCUUGAGAAAGCUUUGAGGUAUGAGCGUGCCUUAAAUAGGUUCAAAGUGGUUGAUAAAAGCUAUAGGCAUUGUCCCUCGAGUCAAGAAUGGAAGAGGGCAAAGAUUAUCCACGAGAUUUUGAUGCCCUUUUACUGUAUAACCACUCUAAUGUCUGGGACAAGUUAUUCUACAUCCAACUUAUACUUUGGGCAUAUUUGGAAGAUUCAGUGUUUGUUGGAAGUGAACAGGAGCCAUGAAGAUAGCAUCAUUAGAGAGAUGAUAUCUAAGAUGAAAAAAAGUUCGAUAAAUAUUGGGAGCAGUAUAGCGUUAUUCUAGCAAUGGAGGCAGUCUUUGAUCCUAGGAUUAAAUUUAGACUCCUGAAGCGUUGUUAUGACGAGCUUGAUCCCUUCACUUCGAAAGAAAAGAUUAAACAUCUUAAGGAUAAGCUUUAUAAGCUUUUUGAAGAGUAUAGGAAAAAGUAUCCUUUAACUCCUGUUGUGAGCUCUACAAGAGUAGACUCGCGUGUUGCUAAAAGAGGAAGAGGGAACUUGGAUGUACAAGAUAUGAUGUUCCAGACUAUUUGGAAGAAGGAAAGUCAGCUUUGGAUAUGUACUUAGAGGAUCCAAAGUUAGAUAUGAGGAGCCAUCCUAAUUUGAAUGUUCUGCAGUAUUGGAAAGAAAAUAGAUAUCGUUUUGGCGCUCUGACAUAUAUGGCAAUGGAUGUGCUUAGCAUUCCUAUAACUACAGUGGCUUCUGAAUCUUCGUUUAGUAUUGGUUCUCAGGUUAUAAGCAAGUAUCGAAGUAGAUUGUUGCCUAGUAAUGUUCAGGCUCUAUUGUGUACACGUUCUUGGAUACAUGGUUACCUACUUGAUGAUGAAGAUAAUGGCGAAGGUGAGAUGGUUAUUAUUCGAGCAAGCCCAAAUGGAGUAGAAGAAUCUGGAAGCAGCCAAAGAACUGAGAACCUUCAAUCCAAUCCAUAAUUAACUUCGACGUCCUCCACCGGAACUUGUAAGGAAGAGAUUGGUUCUGUCAGUAU